AAGAUCAUUAGCUUUGUUGUUUCCAGUUCAAUCAGAGAUAUUGCAAAAGAUUUGUGUACGCAGUUAUCUGGAAACAAGCGUCAUGAACUUGAUUGGUCCCCAGCGUUUGUUGAAAAUUUUAUUGUGUUUUAGUUGAUUGGGACAAAUUAAUUCGUCUUUCUGAAGAAGAAAAGCAGUUAUUUAAUUUCGGCACAGUCCCCCCCUAAUAUUUCAGUUGAUGAAUGAUCAGCAAUGAUUGAUUAGGCUAUGGUUAAAAAACCCCUUUUAAACAUUCAAAUUUCAGGAGGGACCGUGAACGAUGAAACGUAGGCGUGGCUGACGCGCUGUGCUCCAUUUGAGGGUAUAGGUAUAUACAUAUAUGAGCCAAAUUCAGUGAAAUCUAAAUGCUAUUUCUUAUGGAAAAUAGAAAUCUGGCUGCAUUUCUUAAGGGUUCAUAUUUUUCAAAGCUGUUGUAUCUGACUGCUUAUAGCUGUAGAGAAAACACAUAUGACUACCACUAUAUAAGGAAGAUGUUCAGCAAAUCUUCUAUACACGAACUAGCAGUUCAUGCAGUCUUCUAUAUGUUUUCGGUCUUUAGUGUGGAAAAUCAAUUUUCAUUUCCUUUGUGGAUAAUUACGAAUCGGUUAUCGAUUCUUCUGAAUGCGAAUGGAUCGCAUCUAACAUUAUGUCGGGAAACUCUAUAUAUAGUACUUCUGCUCUUGUUGCCGCUCUUCCUUAGUUGUUAUUAUUGCACUUUCUACGCUACCAACGUAUCAAUCUUCUCGCGAACGGUUGCCAUGAGGUCAUUGUUUUAGCUGAAACAGAAACAACUACAACUUUUCGAAGACGAAAGAACGGUCGAUUCAAAUUCACCAUCGUCCAUCCUAUAGCCACGGAAUGGAAACGGCAAUUUGGCAGGAAGGCUCAUAUCAAGAAGUGGUUGAGGUGAAAUUGAAGUCUCGGAAGAGUUAUUAGCAAAGAUAGAGAGAUUGGCGUAAAGAUGCGAUAAAUGGGAGUACUGUAGAAUUUUAAUAAUUUCGAUGGAGUUUAUGUGAAAAUUUUCCAGUAGAAACGUGUUUUUCCCAUCGGUAUUAGGAAUAAUGGCUUUAAAUUAUUGCAAUAAAUAUAUACUUAUAUCAGUGUAA
Molecule: long non-coding RNA, 1124 nt
Organism: Hermetia illucens (black soldier fly)
Lineage: Eukaryota; Metazoa; Arthropoda; Insecta; Diptera; Stratiomyidae
Exons: 2
Source: RefSeq, a predicted model, not a curated record